Molecule: ribosomal RNA, 2898 nt
Filed under: Triticum aestivum (bread wheat)
Lineage: Eukaryota; Viridiplantae; Streptophyta; Magnoliopsida; Poales; Poaceae
Description: partial small subunit ribosomal RNA
Source: RNAcentral
AUGAUAGGAGGAGAGGUGAUUCAAGCAGUGACCUUCGCCAAUUCUGUGCUUAGCAAGGUGGCUGAUGUGAUCACGAGAGAUAAGUCCAUGAAAGGUGCAGUCAAAAGAGGCCUCAACGACAUCAAGCUGGAUAUGAAAAUGGUGAUCAGCGAAAUCAAGUUGAAUGAGGAGAACAACCAAGGGGCGACACAUGAGAGCAAGAUUGUGAUACUGAAGGAGUUGGCUAAUGAUAUUGAGGACUUCAUAGAUCUUACGUGGGUUCCGGGUGCAUCUGGCAUUCUCUUCUCGGCAUUUGGCCCGGACCACCGACCUCAAAUAGUGCAAACAAUCGACCAUUUCAAGGACAGUAUCCAGAAAGUACGGACCUGGCAACCUGAUGCCGGAUCCAGCAAGGGCGAAGACAGUGCUGCAACAUGGUCCUGCCCUUCAGCCACACCUCCUAAUCCUUAUAGCCGAGAUCUAGAUCAUGAGGCUACCUUCAGGAGCAUCUGCAAACACAGAUGUGAGCUGCAAGGGUUGCUGUCAGCAUCCGAAGGGCAAGAGCUGAAGGUGAUCUCCAUUGUCGGUUGCCGUGGCGUGGGGAAGACAAGUCUAGCAACAGCGGUCUAUGACGACUGUCGUGCCGAAUACGAUUGCGUUGCUUGGGUGGUGGCAUCCGAGUGCCGCGAUCUGGAGGACCUUCUAACCAAGCUUCUCAAGGAGGCACAAAGGACGGCUAAGCCUACAUCUACAGCUGCACAAGGGAGCAUCUCCGAUACUGAGCAAACAAGCCUUCGAAAUUUCCUGAGUGACAAAAGGUACUUUGUUGUUAUUGACGAUGUGGACCGUCUAGAAGUGUGGCAGGCUAUAAAACGUGAAUUCCCUAAAGAAGGCCACGGCAGCAGAAUAAUUGUGACCACAAGCAUGCACUCUGUUGCGGCUGAAUGCAGCUGGGGCAGUCAUGUGUAUACAAUGCAAUGUUUGGACAAAGAUGAGUCAGAAAAAGUAUUCUGGGAAUCGGUUGGUCAAGAGAAUAAGACACCUGCCCUAGAGCGGGCUUCAGAAGGCAUCAUCACGAAAUGUGGAGGCUUACCUCUGGCGCUUAUCAGCGUAGCCAAUUACUUGCGUCGACGAGGACGAACCGAGAAUCAAGUGGCAGGAGGACUCACAACAGAGCACUGCAAAAGUGUUGCCUGCACGCUCGGAGACAAGAUACUAAAAGGACAGGAUGCCGAGUUCUUGAAGAUCAAUAGAGCGCUUCUCCAGUGCUACAACAACCUUCCAGACUAUGCACACCAGAGCUGCUUGCUUUAUGCCAGCGUGUUCCCCAGAGGCCGCCCAAUUAGAAGCAAGGUUCUGCUUAGAAGAUGGAUGAGUGAAGAGUUGGCUGCACAUGGCACUGUCAGUGAUGAAGAAGGUGUCAGAAGUUGUUUACAGGCCUUCAUUGAGCGGUGUAUCGUUGAACCAGUAGAGAUAAAAAAUGCUAGGGUAGCCAGGUGCAGGGUUCACAGCAUAAUGCUCGAGUUCAUCAUCCACAAGGCCGUCUCAAAGAAAUUUGUUGCUCUGGUUGACAAGGAUGAGCUCCUGUCCAAUAAUGGUACUAUCACCAAUGUUCGUGUCCGCCGACUCUCUGUUCAGGAUAGCACCAAGGAAGGAGUUGAUGAUGUUGUGUGUACUGCGAGGGGUAUUGACUUAUCUGUUAUGAGGUCACUAACAAUCUUCGGAAGCCCUCUUCUUGACCUCCAAGCCUGCAAGUUACUGCGAGUUCUGGAUCUUGAAGGUUGCAAAGGGGUAAACAAUGAUGCCGUUCUCGAAAACAUAUGCAAGCAGCGGCUUCUCAAGUAUCUCAGCCUGAGGGGCACUGAUGUUGACCAUCUUCACCAAAAAAUAAAGCACCUAGUGCAUUUGGAAACACUGGAUAUUCGAGACACAUCGGUGGAAGUCGUGCCCAUUGAGGUCAUCAGGCUACCACUGUUAGCUCACCUGUUUGGCCGGUUUGAGCUACCCCAUCGAAUCACUGAAGAAAUAUCAAAGCAAAGCAAAUUGCAGACUCUGGCUGGAGUCGUGGUUACUGAGGCAGACGAAAGUUUUGAAAACAUUAUACUUCAUGCCCGAAAACUGAGGAAGGUUAAGAUCUAUCAAGCAACAUCAUAUUCCUCCAACAGCCCUUGCCGCUUGCCGCUUAACGAGCGCUUCACCGGUAGCAAAGCUCUCCAGAUUCUGUCAAUUGAUUCAAGUGACUUGGCUAAAGAGUUCAUAAGGUUCCUAGAGGCUCCCUGUGCAAUUACAUCUAUCAAACUACGGGGGCAGCUGGAAAGAUUACCUGCUACUCCUGCCUUAACGGAGCUGUGCGAUCUAAAUAGGCUGCUACUUAUCUCCACUGGUUUGAGCAUCGAAGACUUAUCUGCACUGCAAAGUUUACCUUGCUUGGAAUAUCUCAAGCUAGCAGAAGAUGGGCAUGGGUUUCGCGGCAGCAGCUUCGUUGUGAAGAGUGGUGGAUUCCCAAGCCUGAGGCGACUGUCCUUGGAGGCCCCAAGGCUCCCACAAGUGCGAAUCGAACAAGGAUCUAUGAAGUCUCUCGCCAUACUUGACCUACUUUGUCCAGAUCCAGAAAUUCGAGAGCCUCGUUUGGGAAUCCAUUACUCUUUCCUUCAGCUGGAAACCAGGCUUGGCGUGGAAGGCGUAUCGUAUCUUGAGAAUCUCAAGGAGGUGAUCCUCCACCACUCUAUGAGUGAGUCAAAAGUGCAAGCUUGGAAAGAGGAAGCGAUUGGGCACAACAACAAGCCAUCUGUGAAGAAGCAACCACAACCAACCAUCCAUGCGGCACGCCAUGGGAUGCAAGCAAGGAUCGACAAGAGGAAGAACCCGGACGACGGAAAGGGCAAGAAAGAUGACAAGCUGAAGAAGAAGAAGAAGUGA